UGGCUCAACGGUUAAGAGCACUGGUUGCUCUUCCAGAGGUCCUGAGUUCAAUUCUCAG
This 58-nucleotide transfer RNA is filed under the name Mus musculus (house mouse). RNAcentral also lists the same sequence under 1 other name. The record is from Rfam by way of RNAcentral. Lineage: Eukaryota; Metazoa; Chordata; Mammalia; Rodentia; Muridae.